UCGGAUCCGUUCUUCCGUUUUUGAACCGUUAUAGUGUCAAGCCCUGAAGGUCGUUCAUCGAGAAACCGAAUUAUCCUGUUACUGGAAACCCUUGAGAACAUUUUCCCGUGGAAACCGUAUUAUUUUCUUUCUUAGGUACGUCAAAUAAGCUUUUCUACGCUCGGAGGACUUACUUUAGAAGUUUAAAUGCCGCCAUAACUAUUUAGCCAAUCAGCGUCUUUUCAAAAGCGGUUAAACCCAAGUUGGUUGCAUGUCGAGUUUCCAAUGACGUCAUACCCAUCCGCCAUUGACGGGUUCAUAUCACUCAGCAGGCAAACCAAUGUACCCCUUCUCCGUCACUACUCUCUAAGAUGGCGCUUCUAACCUUCUGUACUCUCUCCUGUAAUAGUAAUUGUUACCGUGACCGUGAAUUCUGGGAAUUGUGAAGUGAAGUGAAGUCGGUCAACCCACGCUUACCGGAUCCACGAAAGUUACUACCUAACUAAUGUAUAUUUUAUGGUGAACCUACGCUUACGGGAUCCACGAAAUAUUCGGCCAUGAGUGUCAGAAGGAGCCCAAGGUUAAAACCUAAAUUGACUACGGGUGUUGAAGGAGACAAUGCUUCGAAUUCAAAAGAUGAUGGACCUCCGAAAAAGAAACAAAAACAACAGAAACAUCGCAAUAGCGAAGGAAUUUCUUUUAUUUCCUGUGAUGCCCCUGAACAACAAUCAGUUGAUCGUUCUUCUUUGAGACAAUCUUUUUCAUCUAUACCGACUACGGGUGUUGAAGGAGACAAUGCUUCGAAUUCAAAAGAUGAUGGACCUCCGAAAAAGAAACAAAAACAACAGAAACAUCGCAAUAGCGAAGAAAUUUCCUUUAUUUCCUGUGGUGCAACUGAGGAACAAUCAGUUGAUCGUUCUUCUUUGAAACAAUCUUUUUCAUCUAUACCGACGACCGGUCUUGAAGGAGACAAUGCUUUGAAUUCACAAAAUGAUCGACCUCCGAAAAAGAAACAAAAAAAACAGAAACAUGGCAAUAGCGAAGAAAUUUCCUUAUUUCCUGUGAUGCCCCUGAAGAACAAUUAGUUGAUCGUUGUCCUUUGCGACAAUCUUUUUCAUCUAUAACGACGACGGGUCUUGAAGGAGACAAUGCUUUGAAUUCACAAAAUGAUCGACCUCCGAAAAAGAAACAAAAAAAACAGAAACAUCGAAAUAGCGAAGAAAUUUCCUUUAUUCCUGUGAUGCUUCUGAAGAACAAUCAUUGAUUGUUGUCUGUUGGGACAAUCUUUUCA
This 1270-nucleotide long non-coding RNA is filed under the name Bemisia tabaci. Its description in RNAcentral is "lncRNA ENSSSA3NGG001818". The record is from RNAcentral. Lineage: Eukaryota; Metazoa; Arthropoda; Insecta; Hemiptera; Aleyrodidae.